This 231-nucleotide ribosomal RNA is filed under the name uncultured bacterium. Its description in RNAcentral is "partial 16S ribosomal RNA". It matches the Rfam family "Bacterial small subunit ribosomal RNA", at positions 15 to 237 of the family's 1533-position model. The record is from RNAcentral.
GAUCAUGGCUCAGGAUGAACGCUAGCUACAGGCUUAACACAUGCAAGUCGAGGGGCAGCGGGAUUGAAGCUUGCUUCAAUUGCCGGCGACCGGCGCACGGGUGAGUAACGCGUAUCCAACCUUCCGCAUACUCGGGGAUAGCCUUCUGAAAAGGAGAUUAAUACCCGAUGGUAUACAAGAGAUUGCAUGAUAACUUGAUUAAAGAAUUUCGGUAUGCGAUGGGGAUGCGUU